GAAAGGUUUACUGGUGUCAGGAUGUAUCAAUAUGUCGGCAGAGGCAAACCGCUGUUUGAGAGUUUCAAAGGCUUCUAUCACCUCCUUAGACCAUAUCGUAGUGCUAACCCCCUUGCGUGUCAUAUUGGUGAUGGGGGCUAUUACUGAAGAAAAUCCCUUUAUAAACCUUCUGUAAUAAUUGGCAAAACCAACGAACCUUUGAAUGGUUUUCAACCGAGCGGGUAAAGGACAUUGUAGAAC
Molecule: non-coding RNA, 240 nt
Organism: Pelobates cultripes (western spadefoot toad)
Lineage: Eukaryota; Metazoa; Chordata; Amphibia; Anura; Pelobatidae
Source: the annotation of a GenBank genome assembly